GAUGAACGCUGGCGGCGUGCUUAACACAUGCAAGUCGAACGAUGAAGCCCAGCUUGCUGGGUGGAUUAGUGGCGAACGGGUGAGUAACACGUGAGUAACCUGCCCUUGACUCUGGGAUAAGCCUUGGAAACUGGGUCUAAUACUGGAUAUGACUUCUCAUCGCAUGGUGGGGGGUGGAAAGAUUUAUUGGUCUUGGAUGGACUCGCGGCCUAUCAGCUUGUUGGUGAGGUAAUGGCUCACCAAGGCGACGACGGGUAGCCGGCCUGAGAGGGUGACCGGCCACACUGGGACUGAGACACGGCCCAGACUCCUACGGGAGGCAGCAGUGGGGAAUAUUGCACAAUGGGCGCAAGCCUGAUGCAGCGACGCCGCGUGAGGGAUGACGGCCUUCGGGUUGUAAACCUCUUUCAGUAGGGAAGAAGCGAGAGUGACGGUACCUGCAGAAGAAGCGCCGGCUAACUACGUG
RNAcentral lists this ribosomal RNA (466 nucleotides) under uncultured bacterium. Its description in RNAcentral is "partial 16S ribosomal RNA". It matches the Rfam family "Bacterial small subunit ribosomal RNA", at positions 28 to 507 of the family's 1533-position model. The record is from RNAcentral.